GAUGAACGCUGGCGGCGUGCCUAAUACAUGCAAGUCGAGCGAACGGACGAGAAGCUUGCUUCUCUGAUGUUAGCGGCGGACGGGUGAGUAACACGUGGAUAACCUACCUAUAAGACUGGGAUAACUUCGGGAAACCGGAGCUAAUACCGGAUAAUAUUUUGAACCGCAUGGUUCAAAAGUGAAAGACGGUCUUGCUGUCACUUAUAGAUGGAUCCGGGCUGCAUUAGCUAGUUGGUAAGGUAACGGCUACCAAGGCAACGAGGCAUAGCCGACCUGAGAGGGUGAUCGGCCACACUGGAGGUGAGCCGCGGUCCAGACGCCUACGGGAGGCAGCAGUAGGGAAUCUGCCGCAGUGGGCGAAAGCCUGACGGAGCGACGCCGCGUGAGUGAUGAAGGUCUUCGGAUCGUAAAACUCUGUUAUUAGGGAAGAACAUAUGUGUAAGUAACUGUGCACAUCUUGACGGUACCGAAUCAGAAAGCCACGGCUAACUACGUG
This 496-nucleotide ribosomal RNA is filed under the name uncultured bacterium. RNAcentral describes it as "partial 16S ribosomal RNA". It matches the Rfam family "Bacterial small subunit ribosomal RNA", at positions 28 to 507 of the family's 1533-position model. The record is from RNAcentral.